Molecule: ribosomal RNA, 464 nt
Filed under: Vreelandella stevensii
Lineage: Bacteria; Pseudomonadati; Pseudomonadota; Gammaproteobacteria; Oceanospirillales; Halomonadaceae
Description: partial 16S ribosomal RNA
Rfam family: Bacterial small subunit ribosomal RNA
Source: RNAcentral
CCUAGGGGGGCUGCAGUGGGGAAUAUUGGACAAUGGGGGGAACCCUGAUCCAGCCAUGCCGCGCGUGUGAAGAAGGCCCUCGGGUUGUAAAGCACUUUCAGUGAGGAAGAACGCCUGGUGGUUAAUACCCAUCAGGAAAGACAUCACUCACAGAAGAAGCACCGGCUAACUCCGUGCCAGCAGCCGCGGUAAUACGGAGGGUGCGAGCGUUAAUCGGAAUUACUGGGCGUAAAGCGCGCGUAGGUGGCUUGAUAAGCCGGUUGUGAAAGCCCCGGGCUCAACCUGGGAACGGCAUCCGGAACUGUCAAGCUAGAGUGCAGGAGAGGAAGGUAGAAUUCCCGGUGUAGCGGUGAAAUGCGUAGAGAUCGGGAGGAAUACCAGUGGCGAAGGCGGCCUUCUGGACUGACACUGACACUGAGGUGCGAAAGCGUGGGUAGCAAACAGGAUUAGAUACCCCUGUAGUC